GGACUACUGGGGUAUCUAAUCCCGUUCGCUACCCUGGCUUUCGUGCCUCAGCGUCAGAUAAGACCCAGUGAGCCGCCUUCGCCACCGGUGUUCCUUAGGAUAUCAACGCAUUUCACCGCUCCACCCUAAGUUCCGCUCACCUCUGUCUUCCUCAAGCACGGCAGUUUUGGGCGCAAUUCCUCAGUUAAGCUGAGGUAUUUCACACCCAACUUGCCGCACAGCCUACGCACCCUUUAAGCCCAGUAAUUCCGAAUAACGUUCGUGUGGCUCGUCUUACCGCGGCUGCUGGCAC
Molecule: ribosomal RNA, 292 nt
Filed under: uncultured bacterium
Lineage: Bacteria
Also listed under: 2 other names
Description: partial 16S ribosomal RNA
Source: RNAcentral